Long non-coding RNA from Notolabrus celidotus (New Zealand spotty), 642 nucleotides. RefSeq lists it as uncharacterized. The transcript is spliced from 3 exons. NCBI's taxonomy places the organism in Eukaryota, Metazoa, Chordata, Actinopteri, Labriformes, Labridae. The record is from RefSeq and is a predicted model, not a curated record.
UCUGCACACACCAAGUCCUGACUCAAUCAAAUUUCAGAAACAAGCUGCAGGUGGUUUCACCUCUGUGCGGAGAUCAGAGCUGCUGCCCCUGUCUGCCCUCUAGUGGAAAUAACAGACUGAUGCAGGGACACACUGCUCCAACAGCUACACUACAGGGAGAAGUGGAUUACUUGGCUGUCACUCCUUGAUGACUUCAUCUAUGCCCACAGCCCCCUUGAAAUGUCACCACCCUUCAGUGACACCCGCCGUUUGCUUCCCCGCGUGUCAUCAUCAGUCAGAGCAGCACAGUAUGCUCAGCGUGUCAUCAGUCAGUGCCUGCAUGCUGCUGUGGUUUAAAAACUCUCAUGUUCUGUGGCCUCUGCUGCAGAGACGCUGAUUGGAAAUGCUUCUCUGUGGUUUCUAAACAGACAAACAACGACUGCACUCUAAGACUUUAAGCUGUGUGUCUUCAUCAUAUUAUUCUUUGAAAGCAGAACACAGACCAAACCACUGCUGCUGCCCACAGAAACAUUUCAAUGAGAUCAGGUUGCUUCAAGUAGAAACGGUGCUAAAGAAAGUCUCCAAACAGUCAGGGGAAGUUUGCUUUGCGAGAACAUCACAUGCCAAGAGAAACUGAAAUAAAGAAAGAGCAAAAAAACUAAA